UUAAGCGACUAAGCGUACACGGUGGAUGCCCUGGCAGUCAGAGGCGAUGAAGGACGUGCUAAUCUGCGAUAAGCGUCGGUAAGGUGAUAUGAACCGUUAUAACCGGCGAUUUCCGAAUGGGGAAACCCAGUGUGAUUCGUCACACUAUCAUUAACUGAAUCCAUAGGUUAAUGAGGCGAACCGGGGGAACUGAAACAUCUAAGUACCCCGAGGAAAAGAAAUCAACCGAGAUUCCCCCAGUAGCGGCGAGCGAACGGGGAGCAGCCCAGAGCCUGAAUCAGUGUGUGUGUUAGUGGAAGCGUCUGGAAAGGCGCGCGAUACAGGGUGACAGCCCCGUACACAAAAAUGCACAUGCUGUGAGCUCGAUGAGUAGGGCGGGACACGUGGUAUCCUGUCUGAAUAUGGGGGGACCAUCCUCCAAGGCUAAAUACUCCUGACUGACCGAUAGUGAACCAGUACCGUGAGGGAAAGGCGAAAAGAACCCCGGCGAGGGGAGUGAAAAAGAACCUGAAACCGUGUACGUACAAGCAGUGGGAGCACGCUUAGGCGUGUGACUGCGUACCUUUUGUAUAAUGGGUCAGCGACUUAUAUUCUGUAGCAAGGUUAACCGAAUAGGGGAGCCGAAGGGAAACCGAGUCUUAACUGGGCGUUAAGUUGCAGGGUAUAGACCCGAAACCCGGUGAUCUAGCCAUGGGCAGGUUGAAGGUUGGGUAACACUAACUGGAGGACCGAACCGACUAAUGUUGAAAAAUUAGCGGAUGACUUGUGGCUGGGGGUGAAAGGCCAAUCAAACCGGGAGAUAGCUGGUUCUCCCCGAAAGCUAUUUAGGUAGCGCCUCGUGAAUUCAUCUCCGGGGGUAGAGCACUGUUUCGGCAAGGGGGUCAUCCCGACUUACCAACCCGAUGCAAACUGCGAAUACCGGAGAAUGUUAUCACGGGAGACACACGGCGGGUGCUAACGUCCGUCGUGAAGAGGGAAACAACCCAGACCGCCAGCUAAGGUCCCAAAGUCAUGGUUAAGUGGGAAACGAUGUGGGAAGGCCCAGACAGCCAGGAUGUUGGCUUAGAAGCAGCCAUCAUUUAAAGAAAGCGUAAUAGCUCACUGGUCGAGUCGGCCUGCGCGGAAGAUGUAACGGGGCUAAACCAUGCACCGAAGCUGCGGCAGCGACGCUUAUGCGUUGUUGGGUAGGGGAGCGUUCUGUAAGCCUGCGAAGGUGUGCUGUGAGGCAUGCUGGAGGUAUCAGAAGUGCGAAUGCUGACAUAAGUAACGAUAAAGCGGGUGAAAAGCCCGCUCGCCGGAAGACCAAGGGUUCCUGUCCAACGUUAAUCGGGGCAGGGUGAGUCGACCCCUAAGGCGAGGCCGAAAGGCGUAGUCGAUGGGAAACAGGUUAAUAUUCCUGUACUUGGUGUUACUGCGAAGGGGGGACGGAGAAGGCUAUGUUGGCCGGGCGACGGUUGUCCCGGUUUAAGCGUGUAGGCUGGUUUUCCAGGCAAAUCCGGAAAAUCAAGGCUGAGGCGUGAUGACGAGGCACUACGGUGCUGAAGCAACAAAUGCCCUGCUUCCAGGAAAAGCCUCUAAGCAUCAGGUAACAUCAAAUCGUACCCCAAACCGACACAGGUGGUCAGGUAGAGAAUACCAAGGCGCUUGAGAGAACUCGGGUGAAGGAACUAGGCAAAAUGGUGCCGUAACUUCGGGAGAAGGCACGCUGAUAUGUAGGUGAAGUCCCUCGCGGAUGGAGCUGAAAUCAGUCGAAGAUACCAGCUGGCUGCAACUGUUUAUUAAAAACACAGCACUGUGCAAACACGAAAGUGGACGUAUACGGUGUGACGCCUGCCCGGUGCCGGAAGGUUAAUUGAUGGGGUCAGCGCAAGCGAAGCUCUUGAUCGAAGCCCCGGUAAACGGCGGCCGUAACUAUAACGGUCCUAAGGUAGCGAAAUUCCUUGUCGGGUAAGUUCCGACCUGCACGAAUGGCGUAAUGAUGGCCAGGCUGUCUCCACCCGAGACUCAGUGAAAUUGAACUCGCUGUGAAGAUGCAGUGUACCCGCGGCAAGACGGAAAGACCCCGUGAACCUUUACUAUAGCUUGACACUGAACAUUGAGCCUUGAUGUGUAG
Molecule: ribosomal RNA, 2113 nt
Filed under: Escherichia coli
Lineage: Bacteria; Pseudomonadati; Pseudomonadota; Gammaproteobacteria; Enterobacterales; Enterobacteriaceae
Description: bacterial LSU rRNA
Rfam family: Bacterial large subunit ribosomal RNA
Source: RNAcentral